Molecule: RNase P RNA, 319 nt
Filed under: marine eukaryotic metagenome
Description: Bacterial RNase P class A
Rfam family: Bacterial RNase P class A
About the family: Ribonuclease P (RNase P) is a ubiquitous endoribonuclease, found in archaea, bacteria and eukarya as well as chloroplasts and mitochondria. Its best characterised activity is the generation of mature 5'-ends of tRNAs by cleaving the 5'-leader elements of precursor-tRNAs.
Source: RNAcentral
CAAGGAAGACGAUCGCGGGAUGCUUUACUGCAUCCUGAGGAAAGUCCGGACUCCAGGGAGCAAAGUGCCUGGGAAACCAGGCGAGGGUGACCUCAGGGAAAGUGCCACAGAAAAUAGACCGCUGGGUAAAACCAGUAAGGGUGAAAAGGUAGUGUAAGAGACUACCGGUAUUCCUGGUAACAGGAAUACGCAUGGUAAACCCCACUUGGAGCAAGGCCAAAUAGGACAGUUGGGAUGCUCCCCCCUAAAACUGUCGGGUUGGCCGCUUAGAUAAAUGAUCGUCAUCUCUUUUAGAGAUACAGAAUCCGGCUUAUUCCUU